This 732-nucleotide ribosomal RNA is filed under the name Golovinomyces sp. RNAcentral's name for it is "partial large subunit ribosomal RNA". The record is from RNAcentral. Lineage: Eukaryota; Fungi; Ascomycota; Leotiomycetes; Helotiales; Erysiphaceae.
GGUAGGGCCGGCCUAAGUUCCUUGGAACAGGACAUCAGAGAGGGUGAGAAUCCCGUAUGUGGCCGUGGCCUACGCCCGUGUAAAGCUCUUUCGACGAGUCGAGUUGUUUGGGAAUGCAGCUCAAAAUGGGUGGUAAAUUUCAUCUAAAGCUAAAUAUUGGCCAGAGACCGAUAGCGCACAAGUAGAGUGAUCGAAAGAUGAAAAGCACUUUGGAAAGAGAGUUAAACAGUACGUGAAAUUGUUGAAAGGGAAGCGCUUGCAACCAGACUUGGGCGUCGUCGAUCAUCCGGGGUUCUCCUCGGUGCACUCGACGAGGCACAGGCCAGCAUCGGUUUGGAUGGUUGGAGAAAGGCCCUAGGAACGUAGCUCUCUUCGGGGAGUGUUAUAGCCUAGAGCGCAAUGCAGCCCAUCCGGACCGAGGACCGCGCCUUUGGCUAGGAUGCUGGCGUAAUGGUUGCAAGCGACCCGUCUUGAAACACGGACCAAGGAGUCUAACAUCUAUGCGAGUGUUUGGGCGUUAAACCCAUACGCGGAAUGAAAGUGAACGUAGGUGAGAACCCGUCAGGGUGCAUCAUCGACCGAUCCUGAUGUCUUCGGAUGGAUUUGAGUACGAGCAUAGCUGUUGGGACCCGAAAGAUGGUGAACUAUGCCUGAAUAGGGUGAAGCCAGAGGAAACUCUGGUGGAGGCUCGCRGCGGUUCUGACGUGCAAAUCGAUCGUCAAAUUUGGGUAU